Molecule: ribosomal RNA, 465 nt
Filed under: uncultured bacterium
Lineage: Bacteria
Description: partial 16S ribosomal RNA
Rfam family: Bacterial small subunit ribosomal RNA
Source: RNAcentral
GACGAACGCUGGCGGCGUGCUUAACACAUGCAAGUCGAACGGAAAGGCCCUGCUUGCAGGGUACUCUAGUGGCGAACGGGUGAGUAACACGUGGGUGAUCUGCCCUGCACUUCGGGAUAAGCCUGGGAAACUGGGUCUAAUACCGGAUAGGUGCCAUUUUUAGUGUGAUGGUUGGAAAGUUUUUUCGGUGUAGGAUGAGCUCGCGGCCUUUCAGCUUGUUGGUGGGGUAAUGGCCUACCAAGGCGGCGACGGGUAGCCGGCCUGAGAGGGUGGACGGCCAAAUUGGGACAGAGAUACGGGCCAGACUCCUACGGGGGGCAGCAGUGGGGAAGAUUGCACCAUGGGCGGAAGCCUGGUGCAGCGAAGCCGGGUGGGGGAUGACGGCCUUCGGGUUGUAAACUCGGUUCGCUAGGGACGGAGCUGUUUGUGACGGUACCUGGAUAAGAAGCACCGGCUAACUACGUG